GACGAAGGGGGCUAGCGUUGUUCGGAAUUACUGGGCGUAAAGGGCGCGUAGGCGGCCUGUUAAGUCGAACGUGAAAUCCCCGGGCUCAACCCGGGAACUGCGUCCGAUACUGGCAGGCUUGAAUCCGGGAGAGGGAUGCGGAAUUCCAGGUGUAGCGGUGAAAUGCGUAGAUAUCUGGAGGAACACCGGUGGCGAAGGCGGCAUCCUGGACCGACACUGACGCUGAGGAGCGAAAGCCAGGGGAGCAAACGGG
This 253-nucleotide ribosomal RNA is filed under the name uncultured bacterium. RNAcentral's name for it is "partial 16S ribosomal RNA". It matches the Rfam family "Bacterial small subunit ribosomal RNA", at positions 524 to 776 of the family's 1533-position model. The record is from RNAcentral.